RNAcentral lists this transfer RNA (73 nucleotides) under Blastobotrys adeninivorans. RNAcentral describes it as "tRNA Arg (TCG) score". It matches the Rfam family "tRNA". From Rfam's summary of the family: Transfer RNA (tRNA) molecules are approximately 80 nucleotides in length. Their secondary structure includes four short double-helical elements and three loops (D, anti-codon, and T loops). Lineage: Eukaryota; Fungi; Ascomycota; Dipodascomycetes; Dipodascales; Trichomonascaceae. The record is from RNAcentral.
GGUGUUGUGGCGCAAUGGUGAGCGCAUCGGAUUUCGGUUCCGAAGGUUGCAGGUUCGAGUCCUGUCAACAUCG